RNAcentral lists this ribosomal RNA (492 nucleotides) under uncultured bacterium. RNAcentral describes it as "partial 16S ribosomal RNA". It matches the Rfam family "Bacterial small subunit ribosomal RNA", at positions 29 to 507 of the family's 1533-position model. The record is from RNAcentral.
AGUGAACGCUGGCGGUAGGCCUAACACAUGCAAGUCGAACGGCAGCACAGUAAGAGCUUGCUCUUACGGGUGGCGAGUGGCGGACGGGUGAGGAAUACAUCGGAAUCUACUUUUUCGUGGGGGAUAACGUGGGGAAACUUACGCUAAUACCGCAUAUGACCUACGGGUGAAAGCAGUGGAUCUUCGCACCUUGCGCGAUUGAAUGAGCCGAUGUCGGAUUAGCUAGUUGGCUGGGUAAGGGCCCACCAAGGCGACGAUCCGUAGCUGGUCUGAGAGGAUGAUCAGCCACACUGGAACUGAGACACGGUCCAGACUCCUACGGGAGGCAGCAGUGGGGAAUAUUGGACAAUGGGCGCAAGCCUGAUCCAGCCAUACCGCGUGGGUGAAGAAGGCCUUCGGGUUGUAAAGCCCUUUUGUUGGGAAAGAAAAGCAGUAGGUUAAUACCCCGCUGUUCUGACGGUACCCAAAGAAUAAGCACCGGCUAACUUCGUG